GGAAUUGUUCGCAAUGGGCGAAAGCCUGACGACGCAACGCCGCGUGGAGGACGAAGAUCUUCGGGUCGUAAACUCCUUUCGAUCGGGAAGAAUGGCUUCCGGGUUAAUAACCCGGAGGACUGACGGUACCGGUUGAGCAAGCACCGGCUAACUCUGUGCCAGCAGCCGCGGUAAGACAGAGGGUGCAAACGUUGCUCGGAAUCACUGGGCGUAAAGGGCGUGUAGGCGGAUAGAUAAGUCGGGCGUGAAAUCCCCAGGCUCAACCUGGGAACUGCACUCGAAACUGUUUAUCUUGAGUGCCGGAGAGGAAAGCGGAAUUCCUGGUGUAGAGGUGAAAUUCGUAGAUAUCAGGAGGAACACCAGUGGCGAAGGCGGCUUUCUGGACGGUAACUGACGCUGAGACGCGAAAGCGUGGGGAGCAAAC
Molecule: ribosomal RNA, 424 nt
Filed under: uncultured bacterium
Lineage: Bacteria
Description: bacterial SSU rRNA
Rfam family: Bacterial small subunit ribosomal RNA
Source: RNAcentral